RNAcentral lists this transfer RNA (74 nucleotides) under Planctomycetota bacterium. It matches the Rfam family "tRNA". Rfam says of the family: Transfer RNA (tRNA) molecules are approximately 80 nucleotides in length. Their secondary structure includes four short double-helical elements and three loops (D, anti-codon, and T loops). The record is from Rfam by way of RNAcentral. Lineage: Bacteria; Pseudomonadati; Planctomycetota.
GCGCCCGUGGCUUAGUAAGAUAGAGCACUGGUUUCCUAAAUCAGGGGUCGCAGGUUUGAAUACUGCCGGGCGUA